This 385-nucleotide ribosomal RNA is filed under the name uncultured bacterium. Its description in RNAcentral is "bacterial SSU rRNA". It matches the Rfam family "Bacterial small subunit ribosomal RNA", at positions 29 to 399 of the family's 1533-position model. The record is from RNAcentral.
AACGAACGCUGGCGGCGUGCCUAACACAUGCAAGUCGAGGGAGAAAGCCCGCAAGGGUUAGUAAACCGGCGAACGGGUGCGUAACACGUGGAUAAUCUACCUCGGUGACCGGGACAACUGGCCGAAAGGCUUGCUAAUACCGGAUAAGCCCACGACGUUCACGGACGUCGAGGGAAAAGGCGGCCUCUGCAUGCAAGCUGUCACAUCGAGAUGAGUCCGCGGCCCAUCAGCUAGNGGCGGGGUAAUGGCCCACCAAGGCGACGACGGGUAGCUGGUCUGAGAGGAUGAUUAGCCACACUGGAACUGAGACACGGUCCAGACUCCUACGGGAGGCAGCAGGUGGGGAAUCUUGCGCAAUGGGCGAAAGCCUGACGCAGCAACGCCG